AGGCAUGGGCGCAGCCUGAUCCAGCCAUGCCGCGUGUGUGAAGAAGGCUUUCGGGUUGUAAAGCACUUUCAGUGAGGAAGAACGCCUUGGGGCUAAUACCCCCGAGGAAGGACAUCACUCACAGAAGAAGCACCGGCUAACUCCGUGCCAGCAGCCGCGGUAAUACGGAGGGUGCGAGCGUUAAUCGGAAUUACUGGGCGUAAAGCGCGCGUAGGCGGCGUGAUAAGCCGGUUGUGAAAGCCCCGGGCUCAACCUGGGAACGGCAUCCGGAACUGUCAGGCUAGAGUGCAGGAGAGGAAGGUAGAAUUCCCGGUGUAGCGGUGAAAUGCGUAGAGAUCGGGAGGAAUACCAGUGGCGAAGGCGGCCUUCUGGACUGACACUGACGCUGAGGUGCGAAAGCGUGGGUAGCAAACAGGAUUAGAUACCCUGGUAGUCCACGCCGUAAACGAUGUCGACUAGCCGUUGGGGUCCUAGAGACCUUUGUGGCGCAGUUAACGCGAUAAGUCGACCGCCUGGGGAGUACGGCCGCAAGGUUAAAACUCAAAUGAAUUGACGGGGGCCCGCACAAGCGGUGGAGCAUGUGGUUUAAUUCGAUGCAACGCGAAGAACCUUACCUACCCUUGACAUCCUCGGAAGCCUGCAGAGAUGCGGGUGUGCCUUCGGGAGCCGAGUGACAGGUGCUGCAUGGCUGUCGUCAGCUCGUGUUGUGAAAUGUUGGGUUAAGUCCCGUAACGAGCGCAACCCUUGUCCCUAUUUGCCAGCGAUUCGGUCGGGAACUCUAGGGAGACUGCCGGUGACAAACCGGAGGAAGGUGGGGACGACGUCAAGUCAUCAUGCCCCUUA
RNAcentral lists this ribosomal RNA (843 nucleotides) under Halomonas sp. YCSC23. RNAcentral's name for it is "bacterial SSU rRNA". It matches the Rfam family "Bacterial small subunit ribosomal RNA", at positions 366 to 1204 of the family's 1533-position model. The record is from RNAcentral. Lineage: Bacteria; Pseudomonadati; Pseudomonadota; Gammaproteobacteria; Oceanospirillales; Halomonadaceae.